UUGCUUUGGCAGCACAUAUACUAAAAUUGGAACAAAACAGAGAAGAUUAGCAUGGCCCCUGUGCAAGGAUGACACACAAAUUUGUGAAGCAUUCCAUAUUUUU
This 103-nucleotide small nuclear RNA is filed under the name Sciurus vulgaris (Eurasian red squirrel). Lineage: Eukaryota; Metazoa; Chordata; Mammalia; Rodentia; Sciuridae. The record is from RNAcentral.